CAGUCGUACUGGCGGGCAAUCAGCCUUUUGGGUGUGAUUAUGUGGGGCGUGAGGAGUUAAUAACCUCCAAUUGAAAGGGAAACGAUUGAAGUCAGUCGUACCUUCGGGUAAUCAGCCUUUCGGGUGCGAUUCUGUGGAGUGUGAUGAGCUUAACACCUUCAUGCUUUGCAUAUUUGUGCUCUUGGGUGUACUUGCCCGUGUGGUUGGUUAACAUCAAUUUUGGUUAUCAUAAAAUGAUUGGAGGAAUGUAGCUUCGAUCUCGUAUUGAAGUGUUAUAGCCUUCGGUAGAUGUGAUGAACGAGAUUGAGGAUUGCAACGGAUACCCUUCGGGGCUACCUGUCUGGUCUCUGAUCGUUGCUCUGGUGCCGAAAGCUUGCUUACGGUCAUCAAAGUCGAUGGUCAAUAGGUUAGAACGGGUUAAA
This 422-nucleotide ribosomal RNA is filed under the name Rhizophagus irregularis. Its description in RNAcentral is "partial large subunit ribosomal RNA". The record is from RNAcentral. Lineage: Eukaryota; Fungi; Glomeromycota; Glomeromycetes; Glomerales; Glomeraceae.